CGCGUAGGCGGUCUUCUAUGUCAGGUGUGAAAGCCCGGGGCUCAACCCCGGAAGUGCACUUGAAACUGGGAGACUUGAGUAUGGGAGAGGGAAGUGGAAUUCCUGGUGUAGCGGUGAAAUGCGUAGAUAUCAGGAGGAACACCGGUGGCGAAGGCGACUUCCUGGACCAAUACUGACGCUGAGGCGCGAAGGCGUGGGGAGCAAACA
Molecule: ribosomal RNA, 207 nt
Filed under: uncultured bacterium
Lineage: Bacteria
Description: partial 16S ribosomal RNA
Rfam family: Bacterial small subunit ribosomal RNA
Source: RNAcentral